RNAcentral lists this long non-coding RNA (330 nucleotides) under Homo sapiens (human). RNAcentral's name for it is "non-protein coding lnc-CES2-3:1". Lineage: Eukaryota; Metazoa; Chordata; Mammalia; Primates; Hominidae. The record is from RNAcentral.
CCUGAGGGACACGGCAGUGAGGAUCCAGCCCAGGUGGGUAGGGAGGGGCUUUCCAUCCCACACACACAACUAGUGGGAUCGUACUGCAGACUAGUCUUCUCUUCCUCCCCUCCAAAGGAGCUGAGGCUCUCCAUCUCCUGCAGGGUAGUGCCCUGCUCCUCGGCCAGGCCCACCAAGGCCCCCAGGCCCAGCCACCCUGCUUCUAGGCUCUUGGUCCAUCAAGCACUCUAUCAGAAUUUCACCUCCAGACCUCCAGCUCCUUCUCACCAUAGCCUCCCCAGGCCGCAGAUCCCAAAGUGGUAAUUUUCUAGCAAUCCCCCAAAUCACAAA